RNAcentral lists this long non-coding RNA (323 nucleotides) under Mytilus galloprovincialis (Mediterranean mussel). The record is from RNAcentral. Lineage: Eukaryota; Metazoa; Mollusca; Bivalvia; Mytilida; Mytilidae.
UAAAGGAAGAUGAUGUUCAUUUGACUGAUCUAGGAAAUGACAUAUUUCUAAAUAAUUUGCAAGGACAAUUUAGGUGCGCUUGAAAUCUUUAUUUGUUCUGGUUCUUAAACAUAUCCAGAUACAUUUGGUACUAGUAUGUGUAUAUCUUAGAUAAUUUUAAAACAGUAUUGGCCACAGUUCAUGUCCUAUCGCAGCUUCAUCCCCACUUUAGUGGCGUUUGAUCCGGUACGGUUGAGUUUGACAUAUACCGUACCUAAUCAAUUUGGCAACUUCGCUGCGUGUGAUAAACUACAGUUACAGUUGUCUAUAUUUUAGUGAUAUUA